RNAcentral lists this long non-coding RNA (346 nucleotides) under Homo sapiens (human). Its description in RNAcentral is "HSALNT0391148". The record is from RNAcentral. Lineage: Eukaryota; Metazoa; Chordata; Mammalia; Primates; Hominidae.
AGAAGCGCAUGGAAUGAUUGCUAUGUAGGCUUGGAGCUGAUGAAUAAGUACUGCAUGGAACCAAUUUGGAGAAAGUGUUUUGCCCACACAUCUAGAAUUAAAAAAAAAUUAAGCAAGGAGAAAGGAAAAGGCUAUGAAAGAAAAGCAGGAAAGAAUAAAGAGAAAGACGUAAUAGAAGAAAGCAAAGAGAAAGAAAAUAAAGGAAGCUGACAAAGAAAGAUAAAAAAGGAAAAGCACGAAGGAGAGAAAUAAAGCAGAAAAAAGAAAGAAUAAUGCAAAGAAAGAAGGAAGAAGGGAAGGAAGGAAGGGAGGGAGGGAAGGAGGGAGGGAGACAGAUGAAGAGAGG